UACAGAGGGUGCGAGCGUUAAUCGGAAUUACUGGGCGUAAAGCGUGCGUAGACGGUUCGUUGUGUCGGUGGUGAAAGCCCCGGGCUUAACCUGGGAAUGGCCAUGGAAACUGGCGAACUGGAGUGUGGCAGAGGGGGGUGGAAUUCCGCGUGUAGCAGUGAAAUGCGUAGAGAUGCGGAGGAACACCGAUGGCGAAGGCAGCCCCCUGGGCUGACACUGACGCUCAGGCACGAAAGCGUGGGGAGCAAACAGG
Molecule: ribosomal RNA, 253 nt
Filed under: uncultured bacterium
Lineage: Bacteria
Description: partial 16S ribosomal RNA
Rfam family: Bacterial small subunit ribosomal RNA
Source: RNAcentral